UGGGGAAUAUUGCACAAUGGGCGCAAGCCUGAUGCCGCAACGCCGCGUGAGGGACGACGGCCUUCGGGUUGUAAACCUCUUUUAGUAGGGAAGAAGCGAAAGUGACGGUACCUGCAGAAAAAGCACCGGCUAACUACGUGCCAGCAGCCGCGGUAAUACGUAGGGUGCGAGCGUUGUCCGGAAUUAUUGGGCGUAAAGAGCUCGUAGGCGGUUUGUCGCGUCUGCUGUGAAAACUGGAGGCUCAACCUCCAGCCUGCAGUGGGUACGGGCAGACUAGAGUGCGGUAGGGGAGAUUGGAACUCCUGGUGUAGCGGUGGAAUGCGCAGAUAUCAGGAAGAACACCGAUGGCGAAGGCAGAUCUCUGGGCCGUAACUGACGCUGAGGAGCGAAAGCGUGGGAAGCGAA
RNAcentral lists this ribosomal RNA (405 nucleotides) under uncultured bacterium. RNAcentral's name for it is "bacterial SSU rRNA". It matches the Rfam family "Bacterial small subunit ribosomal RNA", at positions 355 to 772 of the family's 1533-position model. The record is from RNAcentral.